GCUUAGGGGACACCGUCCCAGCAGACACCCAGGUUCCCCGUGUCCCAUGCACUCGGGGGACACUUUGCCUGUGACACCCCAGGUUCCCUGCGUCCCAUAUGCUCAGGGGACACCAUCCCAGCAGACACCUCAGGUUCCCCACAUCCCAUACACUCAGGGGACACUGUCCCUGUGACACCCCAGGUUCCCCGCGUCCUGUGCACUCAGGGCACACCGUCCCUGUGACACUCCAGGUUCCCCGCGUCCCGUG
Molecule: long non-coding RNA, 250 nt
Organism: Sapajus apella (tufted capuchin)
Lineage: Eukaryota; Metazoa; Chordata; Mammalia; Primates; Cebidae
Exons: 3
Source: RefSeq, a predicted model, not a curated record